Molecule: ribosomal RNA, 387 nt
Filed under: uncultured bacterium
Lineage: Bacteria
Description: bacterial SSU rRNA
Rfam family: Bacterial small subunit ribosomal RNA
Source: RNAcentral
AUUGAACGCUGGCGGCAGGCCUAACACAUGCAAGUCGAGCGGCAGCGCGGGGUAACCUGGCGGCGAGCGGCGAACGGGUGAGUAAUACAUGGGAAUCUGCCUAGUAGUGGGGGAUAACUUCGGGAAACUGGAGGUAAUACCGCAUACGCCCUACGGGGGAAAGGGGGGGAUCUUCGGACCUCUCGCUAUUAGAGGAGCCCAUGUCCGAUUAGCUAGUUGGUGAGGUAAAGGCUCACCAAGGCGACGAUCGGUAACUGGUCUGAGAGGAUGGUCAGUCACACUGGAACUGAGACACGGUCCAGACUCCUACGGGAGGCAGCAGUGGGGAAUAUUGGACAAUGGGGGAAACCCUGAUCCAGCCAUGCCGCGUGAGUGAAGAAGGCCUGG